CCUACGGGAGGCAGCAGUGGGGAAUAUUGCACAAUGGGGGGAACCCUGAUGCAGCGACGCCGCGUGGGUGAGGAAGUACUUCGGUAUGUAAAGCCCUAUCAGCAGGGAAGAAAAUGACGGUACCUGACUAAGAAGGCCCGGCUAACUACGUGCAAGCAGCCGCGGUAAUACGUAGGGGGCAAGCGUUAUCCGGAUUUACUGGGUGUAAAGGGAGCUUAGACGGCGUGCCAAGUCUGGUGUGAAAGGCGGGGGCUCAACCCCGGGACUGCAUUGGAAACUGGCAUGCUGGAGUGCCGGAGGGGCAAGCGGAAUUCCUGGUGUAGCGGUGAAAUGCGUAGAUAUUAGGAGGAACACCGGUGGCGAAGGCAGCUUACUGGACGGUAACUGACGUUGAGGCUCGAAAGCGUGGGGAGCAAACAGGAUUAGAUACCCCAGUAGUC
Molecule: ribosomal RNA, 440 nt
Filed under: uncultured bacterium
Lineage: Bacteria
Description: partial 16S ribosomal RNA
Rfam family: Bacterial small subunit ribosomal RNA
Source: RNAcentral